AAGUCGUAACAAGGUUUCCGUAGGUGAACCUGCGGAAGGAUCAUUAACACUUUUUCCAAAACUCCUUUUUUCUUUUGGCUCAAACCAAAAGAUUUAAGGUUUUAACCCCAAUUUAUUGCGAACGAUGAUUUUCCAAAAUCAUUUUUCUCUUCUUUAUCCUCUUUUUUUUUACCCCAAUUUGUAAAAAUCAAAAGCCUGAUAUAAAUCGUUUUCUCUUUUUUUUCAAAAAGAGUUUUAACGACCGAAACCUAAUGGUUAAAACAACUCUUAGCAACGGAUAUCUUGGCUCUC
RNAcentral lists this unclassified non-coding RNA (291 nucleotides) under fungal sp. RNAcentral describes it as "partial internal transcribed spacer region". The stretch from base 1 to 46 matches the Rfam family "Eukaryotic small subunit ribosomal RNA", at positions 1786 to 1831 of the family's 1831-position model. The record is from RNAcentral. Lineage: Eukaryota; Fungi.